Molecule: long non-coding RNA, 3123 nt
Organism: Oncorhynchus tshawytscha (Chinook salmon)
Lineage: Eukaryota; Metazoa; Chordata; Actinopteri; Salmoniformes; Salmonidae
Source: Ensembl
GUUCAGAAUGUGGAUAUGAGCUCUUCUCCAGCAAUUCCAACUUUGAGCAUUCCUCCCCAUGGCCUGCCUUUUCUAACACAAACAAAGAGGCCUAUUUAUAGACUUCAUGACUCAUUGGUCAUUUGCUGCUCUACAGCACCACCACUGUUCUGUGCCAUCUGGCAAACAUUUCUAACUGCGUCAAGAGUAUAAGAGCUCAACUCAGAGAGGACAUUUGCUGAGAAACCAGAGUUGGGCUACAAGACAUUGUAGGCUACCAAGAGUUGAAAUGGGUCUUCCAGCCUUGGGUCUGAUACCGUUUUUGGGGCCCCUUGCGUUUCCAGUAGCAUUGGGAACAGUCGCAGUAGGGGGCUUUAUAUUGAUUAAGGCGAUUCAUAAGAAACCUUCAUAUCAUCCAGGAAGUCCCAUAAUAACACGUUCCGUGAAGGUAAAGUCAAAUGAAGCUUCUGGAAAUGAACCCACUGGAAAUGCUGCCAGCAAGAAGACAGAAGGACAGCCGAGCAGCAAUGAAACUACCAUCAUAAUUGCUUACGGCCUUGGAGUGGUUGACACUUAUAAAAAUGUUAAAAAAGGUAGACCAUCUCAGUUUGGUCUGGGUAACUUUGGCAUGGCAGAGGCAGACCAUAUUCCACCAUUGGCUUCUCUGAGGAUAGCCCGAAACCAUGAACGACUGGAUCGUCUCCUACAAGUGAAUCCAAGGCUUCAUGAGAUGAUCAUGAGCCUUGAUUAUGACCCAACUGGACAGAACCUGUUAACCAUGAGGGUUCUUUACCAGGAUCACAGAGAUGCUCUGACUACUGGAAACAGCAGGGAAUCUCAAGUAUCCAGUCAUCUGCUGGCAGAGACAAUCGUAGACGGAGAUGCUGCACUUAUGCUGAGGAAGGCUUUUAUCAUGGGUCAUCCUAUAUCUUCCUGGCAGCUCAGAGAAGACGCAGGAUUGGCCGCACCAUAUACCGAUGGUAACAUUGACAUGUCUGAUGAAGGAACAAGGCACUACUACAGAUGUGGCUACAUUGAGCUGGUCGAAGCGUACCACAGGAAGGGGAUAAUCAACAAGAAUCAAGCAAAACAGCUCAUUUCAUGGGUGGAAAAAGAGAUGCACCUGGACCGGGAUACCCAAGAGUAUAAGGAGAUCCUUGAUUACAUUAAACGUCAUGUUCGUGUUUUCCGGUGGUAGAAAUGGCAAACAAACUCAGACAACACAGAGUAAAUACAGAUUGUGUAAUCUAACAUGCUGACCAGACCGGACACGUCGCGCGCGCGUCGCAAAAUACAUUUAGAAAUACAUUUAUGUACGAUAGCGCACGUGCAUAGAUGUUUGGGUCCGUGUAACGGGAGUUCCCAAGUAAAAAACGUUUCUAUGAUAUGCAAAUUAUGGAAUUCAGUAUAGUUGGAUUCUAGUUUGAAAUAUACUAAUUCAUGUUGCCAUUCUAGAACUCAUUGAUUAAUUUGCAUGUAUAAGGAAAGCAUAUGCUGGGGUCAAGGAAGGGUAGAUAGGGAUUUAUGGAAAGUUACAGUGUAGAAAGUUCAUAUUCUGCUCCAUGUUUCUAAGGAGGGAGUCGAAGGGCAAUAGUCUCUGAUAAGGCAGGCCAGCUGAGAAACUAGGGAGGGGCGAGGAAUGCAUCUUGAGGUCAAGUCAACAAAUGAAGUGAUAAGAAAACUCUGGGAGGCAGGCCAGAGAGACCCACCACAAUGACUCUCCUACUUAUGAGGAUUCUGUGUUAUGCAACAUAGCUGAUUUGAAACAUUGUUAACAGUUUCAGGACCAUGGGCCUUUCUCAUGAUGGAAAAAUACAAAAUAACAUAAAAACGGACACAUACAGAACAUAGUGUAGCAAACCACAGACUGUUUUUGUUACAACUCAAACUUAACAAUAACAGAAACCAGAUAUGUGAUAACGGUAUCUAGGGAAUGAGCGCAUAGAUACUCGACACAGCAAGUUACAUCUAUCAACUGGAGCGCCCGGGGGCUGGUACCAGCUCGUACGACAACAAUCAACGAUAGGCUGGGUGAGUUUAAACCACGCCCAGUCUCUACUCUGACAGGCCGGCUCGGAAGCCGGAACUACUACUGUCACCAGGGUAUAUUAUAAUAUCUUUGUCAGGAACAAGUCAGUUCUCUGUUUUGCCCUGCGAGGUGGGACAGAGAGCUUGUAUAUACGAAAAUUGCAUUUACCAUUUAUUGCUUAGCUACUAAAAAAUACAUAGUAUACAAUCGGCGACUCAUUGUCAUAUUUAUCCUGAUACCAGAUUCGAAUUGACGCAACUCUAACAUACUGCAGUCCUAUUUCACACAUAUACUUCCAUGCAUGAAGGUUUUAGUAUCAGGCAGUGCUAUAACUACACCAGUGAGAGGGACAAUUGCGUUUCUGCCUAGCAACAGCGAUGUAUUGGCUGUCUAGAUGUGUAAGGACAUUAUCCCACAUAUUAGAAGGUAAUAAAUAUAUCUGCUUGUGUAAUCAUGCCUUGUCUUUGCAGCUGUAUGACCCAGUGGGUGAAUAAACUUGGUUUGAGCUUUGUGUAGUCGUCCGUUUGAGUUUUUGCUCCGUUUGUUCAGAAUCUAACAGUAUAAAUAUCAUAAUGAGGAGUAUAAUUUAUUGUUCAUAAUUGUUGCAACGUUUUUUUGGCCUACUGUAUAGUCUGUGCCUGGUUGAUUAUGUUCAGCAGUGUACUAGUAGUAGAUCCAGUCUGCCUGUUGCAUUUGGUAAAUGUACAGCCUAUAGAUUCUCUGCAAAAUGUUUAGAUUUCCUGAUUCUCUGCAGUUAUUGUAACAUUAUGCAGUGUGCACUAGCUCAAUGCCUGGGAAAACCGUCAUUAAAAUAUCAUCUAUUUUGGAAGCAGCAGACAGUGAGUGGACAUUACUUUCUUAUUUGUAUUAAAUCUUCUGUUUGUCGUGUGUAAAGUUUAGCUGUUUGUAAAACCCUCUACUUCCACAGAUCCUUCAUCUACCUGAAGAGUGCAGUAGCAGGUGUCCACCUGUUGAUGGUGCCGUCCUCCUUCAUAAUACAACUCUGAGGUCCUGGUAAAUAAAUGUGAUCAACGCUGCUGUGUGUUUUGUCCAUAAUUAUGACACACCAAUGGACAAUUGUAAUGAUGUACGCUGAGAGUCAGAUUAAAAAGGCC